Stegastes partitus (bicolor damselfish) is the source of this 367-nucleotide long non-coding RNA. RefSeq lists it as uncharacterized. The record is from RefSeq and is a predicted model, not a curated record. Lineage: Eukaryota; Metazoa; Chordata; Actinopteri; Pomacentridae. The transcript has 2 exons.
GUGGUGUAGUCUGCUUAGCGCGCAGCUACCUCACGGUUUUGCACCAGCUUGGUGGCGGUUGUGGGAUGCUCUGCUGUGAAAACGGAGCUGUGGGCCCCCCGGAGCGUGGCAGCCAGAUCCCCUGGUGGUGGUCCCCCCUUUUCCGUUGCUGUGAAGUGCACUCUGGGUGUUUUGGUUUGGUGUAUCACAAGGUGUUUUGAGUUGAGCCCCAUUUUCCUGCUGGCUGCCUGGUAAGCCCCAGCCCUUGUCCUUCCCGUAUGCUUAGUUUCUUUGUUUCUUUUGUUUGCCAGCAAUAUCUGCCAAUUCUUUUAAUGAGUAUUUGAUAUCUUUCUUAAUUAUUAAAAAUAAAACUGUAAUAUUGGGGAAA